CGUGGGAGGGUCAAGCCCCCCAACCCCCGAACCUCAGGCCUGGUGGCCCCGCGCGUGUGUCUAGACCCGCAGCCCGCCCCUUACCUCGCCUUCCGGCUCCCGCGGCCGCUCCGACGCCAUGGCGGCCACGGAAGAGCCCGCGCCGUGAAGCCAGCGGCGCGCCUAACCAACGACUCGGCGUUUCCGCCUUCCUGCGCGGCGGCGCCAGGACGUACGUCACCAAAAGGCGACGGAGGCCUUCGCCGCCGGAAGUGCUCGGCGUGGCGGGCCUACAGGGCCGCACGUGCAAGUCUGGGGCAGCUACAGCGUUGGAAGGUGGCUUCCGGGCCCGCCAGCAAGGGUGCGGCUGAGCUCUUCUUACGUGGGCCGGGCUUCGUGAUGUGACACUAGGAGAGGCCAGGCAGGAGAGGGGGACCCCUAGGAACAAUGAGGCCUGCAGAACUAGUCGGUGGUGGUGAGCUUCCAGGAACAUCCGCUAGUGUGGAAUUUCUAGGCAAGUUGCAUUUAACUGAGCUCUGUCGCUGUGAAGAAUACAGCUCAUGCACAGGUAUGAAGAAUAACAUUCCUUUAUAACAAAGCUUACCUGGCUCAUGAAUCAUGUAAUGAACCCAUCCUAGACUCUGUUGGACACCAAGUCUCCUCCACUCUUCUUCGGACAUCAGAUGAGUUUUGGGUACUUGUUUGGAGAGUUCUCUGGGUAGCAUGACAUGCCUGUUAAAAUAUUCAGCCAAAGAUUAAUGCCAUCUUUCCUGCCAUCAUCACUUUAUACAGAUCAUAGUAGAGGCAGGAAGGACUGCCAAGUUUCAGGGCACUUUGGAUUACCAGUUUUUGAGGAGGUCUUUCUCUGAACUCAGGGAGACCAGCCAGUGCCUCAUCCUCAAUUUCCAAUUUUUAAGACUACAAAAUACCAGGCUGGUGAGAUGGCUCAGCGGGUAAGAGCACUGACUGCUCUUCCGAAGGUCCUGAGUUCGGAUCCCAGCAACCACACGGUGGCUCACAACCAUC
Molecule: long non-coding RNA, 1005 nt
Organism: Mastomys coucha (southern multimammate mouse)
Lineage: Eukaryota; Metazoa; Chordata; Mammalia; Rodentia; Muridae
Exons: 4
Source: RefSeq, a predicted model, not a curated record